RNAcentral lists this ribosomal RNA (253 nucleotides) under uncultured bacterium. Its description in RNAcentral is "partial 16S ribosomal RNA". It matches the Rfam family "Bacterial small subunit ribosomal RNA", at positions 524 to 776 of the family's 1533-position model. The record is from RNAcentral.
UACGUAGGGGGCGAGCGUUGUCCGGAAUGACUGGGCGUAAAGGGCGUGUAGGCGGCCGAUUAAGUGUGGAGUGAAAGUCCAUAUUUCAAGUAUGGAAUUGCUUUGCAGACUGGUUGGCUUGAGUGCGGAAGAGGUAAGUGGAAUUCCCAGUGUAGCGGUGAAAUGCGUAGAGAUUGGGAGGAACACCAGUGGCGAAGGCGACUUACUGGGCCGUAACUGACGCUGAGGCGCGAAAGCGUGGGGAGCGAACAGG